Molecule: ribosomal RNA, 327 nt
Filed under: uncultured eukaryote
Lineage: Eukaryota
Description: partial 18S ribosomal RNA
Rfam family: Eukaryotic small subunit ribosomal RNA
Source: RNAcentral
CCCUUAGAUGUUCUGGGCCGCACACGCGCUACACUGAAGGAGGCAGCGUGUACUCCUGGAUCGAAAGAUUUGGGUAACCCGCGAAUCUCCUUCGUGCUAGGGAUUGAGGUUUGCAAUUAUCCUUCAUGAACGAGGAAUUCCCAGUAAGUGCAAGUCAUAAGCUUGCGCUGACUACGUCCCUGCCCUUUGUACACACCGCCCGUCGCUACUACCGAUUGAAUGAUUUAGUGAGGACUUCGGACUGGGACCGAUGCGUCUUUCGGGCUGCGUCGGUAUUCUGGAAAGAUGUCCAAACUGUAUCAUUUAGAGGAAGUAAAAGUCGUAACA